This is a long non-coding RNA of Amphiprion ocellaris (clown anemonefish), 1484 nucleotides long. RefSeq lists it as uncharacterized. The transcript has 3 exons. NCBI's taxonomy places the organism in Eukaryota, Metazoa, Chordata, Actinopteri, Pomacentridae. The record is from RefSeq and is a predicted model, not a curated record.
AGAAAAUCAGCGCUGCGCACACACAAAAAAAAUCCAACCUAAAUUGAAAAUAAAAUAAACAUGUAACAAUUCAUUCUGUGCUAUUUUUCAGUGUGAGUCAGUGAGUGACGGUGACUGGCUGCUGCAGCCAAUGAUGCGAUUCACAUACGUAUUUACCAUAGACUGUAUAUAAUGGUAUUUACGCAGCUAAUCAACGUCAGGCGUCCUUAUGUGCAGCCAUCGUUGUUCUCAUAGAUAUGAAUGAGUAGAUAGGACACGCCCCUUUGAGCUGAGUGCUACAGCGAGGCUAAGCUAGUGGGGGAAAAGUUUCAGUGCAUUCCGUUGAUGUAGACGGCGUGAAAACGGAAACAACAAGUAUGCCGGCUCACUGUGUUGCAUACAGUUACACACUACGUCGUACGAUUGAGACAAGGAAACUUGGAAUGACUUUUCAUAGGUUUCCCAGAGACUAUGGGUUGAGGAGGAAUUGGAAGUUUGUCGGCUUAGACCUGGUGUCAUUCCAUCAGUGUUAAACUUCCCGGCUCAUCUUGGAAGAGGACGUGCCAGAAAGAUCACGACCAAGCAGCCUUGAGAUCUUAGGCAGCGUCUCCCUGAGGUCCCUCUCUAUCUCCCCACACAUCCACCAACCACUGGAACACAUCUCCAAAGUUCUGCCGGGCCAGCUCAGCUUCCCCUCAGAAGAAGUUCCACCAGAUGAAGGAGCCUUUUGAGGGCAGCUGGCAUCGUGAUUGGACUGUACUUUGGUCUGUUCCAGUCCGGCUUCAGCUCCAGAGACGGCAGGCGGGACGAGUCAACGGAGGCCGGGUGGACGAAGGCAUGCAGCUGAGUACAAUCCAGAAAACAACAGAGGAGGAGUGCAGGGCCAGAACAAACAGAGUAGCAUCGUAUGUCGCUUAGAAAACAUCAUAGUACAGCCUUUGCUAUGAAAAAACGGCAUAAUAUACAUCGUAUAUUGUACAAAUAACAAGUCAAAGGAAAGAGACAUCAACUGUAGAAUUGUAGUAAUUGUGGGCUGACUGAUUUACUGAUUAUCAGUAUUUAAUUUUUUACUGAUUUACAGUAAUAAAUACAUUUAAAAAUGGUGCUACUUUGGCUCUGAACCUUUAUCUACCUAUGGUCGCUGUCUUCUGGAGUGAUUUGAUUGGUUAUACGUCACAAAUAAAACUCCUUUAACUUCUGUAAACAAAACAAAAAUGUAUCAACAAAGUUUACUGUUAAGUUUGUGUUCUUCUAAGUUUAACUCCAAGAUUUUAAAUACUUUCAUUUACUGCAAAUGAAUAUCUACUCCAAAUAUCUCACUAAUAAUCAUUAUCAGCCUUAAAAACCCACAAAACACCCCUCUAUACUGGACCACACUUAGUACAGUCCGGUUCCCCCUUCUAUAAAUCUGCUUGGAAUCUUCCACUUCCUGUUUGUCAAAGUGGCUUUCUACCUGGACAGGUUUUGUUGGAGCUCAUGCAACAAACAUUUUGGGUAACUGCACU